This 229-nucleotide ribosomal RNA is filed under the name uncultured bacterium. Its description in RNAcentral is "partial 16S ribosomal RNA". It matches the Rfam family "Bacterial small subunit ribosomal RNA", at positions 568 to 796 of the family's 1533-position model. The record is from RNAcentral.
CGCGUAGGCGGGUCUGUAAGUCAGAGGUGAAAUACUGCGGCUUAACCGUAGAACUGCCUUUGAUACUGCAGAUCUUGAGUUCGGAAGAGAGAGGCGGAAUUCCAGGUGUAGUGGUGAAAUACGUAGAUAUCUGGAAGAACACCAGAGGCGAAGGCGGUCUCUUGGUCCGUAACUGACGCUGAGGCGCGAAAGCGUGGGGAGCAAACAGGAUUAGAUACCCUGGUAGUCC